UUACCAUAUUUAAAGAAAUCCAACGGUCUUGAUGCCGUUGUGAUAAUUAUUUGGAAUGGGGGAAGUCAUCCUCUUGGCCCACAAGUCCACAACCCUUAGUAGGCUAUCUCUGGUGCGAAAUUCGCUGCAUGGCAAUCAAGGUGGGUGUGCGGUUCAUCGAUAUUCAAUCCAGCAUUGGUAGCUCUCCUACCUUCCAACCACACACCUUUAUUAUAUCCGCCUAAAAUAGGCCCAAACCCAUCCCUUCUUUUGUAUUGCAAGUUCUCUGCUUUUGCUGGUUUCUGUACGAGAUCUCGUUCAAAAUUCUUAGUUCCUCCUUUGGUUCUCUCAGCUCCUGUUGUUCUCUCUCUGAAUCUUGAGCUGAAUCCUUUGGAGUUUUAAAGCGUUUGUUUGCUUGUCAUUUGGUGAAUUGGGUCUCGCUCAUUUCAUCUCGAAAAUGAAGGUAGCUGUAGUUUCACGCAGUGGUAGAGAGAUUGUCAAAGGAGGCCUUGAGCUUAAUGAUUCAGCUAUAGUGGCUGAUCUGCAGGAGGCAAUCUAUAAGCGAAGUAAGUGCUUCUCGUAUUUCAGUCUUUGAUCUUUGAUUUUGAGCCUUAUUUCAAUUACUGGAACUUUGAAGUUGGAUCUAAUUUGUAUAUCAUAUUAUGAUUAUCAAUUCAGUUUGGAGGGAAAAAGAGAAUUUUUCUGUUACAUGGAAUUUGGCAAGUUAUAGUAUAGAGAAUCCCACACAAAUAUUCCAUUGGCUAGAAUUUCUCUUUGUUUGAUCUCAUCUCCUAGAUGUUUCUGCUUGACUGUUUCUAGAUAAGCAUGAAACGCAAUAAAUUGUUUCACUUCUUUGUUCCUCUUAUUUGUAUUGUUCAUUAUUACCUUUUUUGUUAUUUCUUCUGUCUGCUUCAUGCUGGCCUUAGAGCAUUUAGUGUUGCUUCUUUGGCUCACAUAAAUCAUUUUAAUUUCUUGGCAAAUUUGAAUUUAGUAGCAGAAACAAGUAUAUAACUUGGCGGAACAUGUUCUUUCUUUUUUCUCAAUCAGUAGUCAGUAAAUUUUAUGCUUAUGAACGUAAGAAUUUUGUAUGAUUUUUGUAAAAGUUUCAUGAAAAAAUGCACAAGUAACAAAGCUUAAGUGGGGCUUAGUUAUCUGUAGACAUUUGUUUAUAUCACAGAGAUCAUGACGUUGUAAGUACCAAAAUGUCUUGGAAUUUUGUAUUUGAGUGUUUGAACUUUAUUUUUGUGCAAUUGAUUGCCUGAAUUAGAAGAAAAAAAAAAGUGCUUUUGCAUUGUCAUAGUGACUGGAAGUGCAAUGAAGUUAGUAAAUACAUGGCCUAUAUUAAUUUUAAAAAAGAAAGUGCCCUCAACUAACACCUUCAUGCAUGCUUAAGGUUAUAAGAUGAGAAAUUUCCAAAAAAUUCUUAGAAAGAGAAAGUGAGAGGUCAUAUUAUUUAAAAAAUUAAAUAUUCCAUGUGUCUAUUAACAUGGUAAGAAUUUUCUUAUUAUUGAAGCUGACAUGGUGUUUAACGGAGUUGAAUGGUGAAAAUGAUCCAUAUAGCCAACUCUAACUAGUUUGAGAUUAAGCCUUAGUUGUUGUUGUUUAAUCUAUUAUGCAUUUCUAGUUACCUAUAAAGUAUUAAGGCACUAUUGCAAAUUUGUUUUCUGUUCAGGUAGUUAACUGCAUAGAAAUAAAAUUCAUACACUCAAAUAGAAAACCCCAAAAAUUUGAGCCACGUAAAAUGUCUAUGGUUAUUGCAUCUUAAGAGAUUUUACUUUUGUUUUGAGUUUUAUUUGUUAUAUUUUGCUUGGUUGAUUCAAUUUUCAUUUUUUUUUUUGGGUUAAAUUGUCAUAUCAUGUUAAAAUUCAAUUUGAGUGGUUCCUUUUAUGUAAAAUUCUGAAAGAUGUUUGAUUUGAUGUAUCAUGCUGCUUAGUUUCUCUACUUCAUCAUUCUAGGCUUGCCGAUUCAGAUGUGAAUGUGCAAAUAAGUAUUUUCUAUUUGAAACCCUGUUUCCCAACUCAUCACGGAGUAUGCAUGUAAUGAUUGUUUAUGUAUGCAUUAGAUCAUAAGGUGUGAUUUUAUUUUAAUAACCUGAAUCACUGCAUACAUCAACAGCCAAAAAAUUCUACCCUUCAAGACAGCGACUGACCCUGCCUCUUCCACUGGGAUCAAAGGACAGGCCUAUUGUCCUUCAUUACAAGAAGAGUCUUAAGGAUUACUGUGAUGGGAAUUCGGACAACAUAACUGUAGUUUUCAAGGACCUGGGUCCACAAGUUUCUUACCGCACACUUUUUUUUCUGGGAGUACUUGGGUCCUUUGAUCAUAUAUCCUGUCUUCUACUUCUUCCCUGUGUACCAGUACUUUGGCUACAAGGGGGAGCGUGUCAUUCGCCCAGUUCAGACAUAUGCUUUAUACUAUUGGUGCUUCCACUACUUCAAACGUAUCAUGGAAACAUUUUUUGUGCAUCGAUUUAGUCAUGCAACUUCACCUCUGUCCAAUGUUUUCCGAAAUUGUGCUUAUUAUUGGACCUUUGGUUCCUACAUUGCCUACUAUGUGAACCACCCACUUUACACUCCUGUUAGUGAUCUUCAAAUGAAGAUUGGUUUUGGUUUUGGUUUGGUUUGUCAAGUUGCAAACUUUUAUUGCCACAUUUUGCUGAGAAAUCUUCGCACUCCAGAUGGGAGUGUAGGUUACCAAAUUCCACGUGGUUUUCUCUUCAAUAUCGUGACAUGUGCAAAUUACACAACAGAGAUUUAUCAGUGGUUGGGUUUCAAUAUUGCAACACAGACUGUUGCAGGCUAUGCCUUUUUAGUGGUUGCUGCUAUGAUCAUGACUAAUUGGGCCCUUGCAAAGCACAGGCGAUUGAAGAAGGUAACCUUCUAUAAAUUUUGGGCUAGUUUACAUUAUUGUUUUCUACAUAAAAAAGGAUGGAAGUUUGAAUCUUGCUUUAAAUAGCAAGCCUGAAUUUAUCUUGGUAUUUUGAAGUUUGAUUUGUAAACCAUAUGUAGCAUUAAUGUCCUAUUUGGUUGCCUUAGUCCUUAGGCAAUACCGGUAUAACAUGAGAUGUUGCAUCUAAUUUUUCUUCUUAAUGUGUUCAUUAAUUUCCUGUUUUUCUUUUUUUCAAAUCCAGUCUGUGAUCAUAAUGUUUCCUUCUUUUUCCCUCUUAUGAUUACAAUUCCUGCACAAUUAUCCAAGGAAAAUGAGGGUGCCAAAUAGCAGAUGGUACAUCUAGAUUAGGUGGGAGUAAAUUAAUAUGUGAACAUUGCUAGAAAUGAGAAACAUUCACCUAUUUUCUACUUCCUUGGACUUGAGAAUAUCUUGGCGUGUAUCUGCCAUGGUUAAUAAAAUUUUUUUCUUUCAACUGGAGCUGAAAAAGUAAUCUCAAAGUAUAAAGUGGGAGCCUUUCCCUUCAUUCAUAUUUUUUCUGUUGCUUUAACGUUCCUUAACAUCUAUUUGUCUUCUGCAGCUAUUUGAUGGGAAGGAUGGAAGACCUAAAUAUCCACGUCGAUGGGUCAUCCUGCCUCUGUUCCUGUAGAAUUGACCUGCAAUUCUGCUACUUAUUCAAUGCUUUAGUGCUUGGUUUUGGCAACAUAAUGAAUUUCAGAUUGUGGUUCAUUCUUCUCAGAUACUAGGUGGAGCUCACGCUUUCACCAAAUUGCUUGAAGAUAAAAGAUCUUAGUCUCUUUGAUUUAGACAGGAAUCUAGAGGAUAAUCUUGUCAAAUAUUUUCUUUUAUUAAAACUUUCUCCAGUCUGUUAAAUUAUAUGGGGAUUUUCUCCAGUCUUGUUGGCUUAACUAAUUUGUUGAAUCGUGACUUCUUGACGAUCAUCAUUAUUUCUUGGUUUCUUUCUUAUGCUUUCUUAGAAUUUAUCAUGGGGUUGAUCUUCAACUUGCAAAUUAGCUAACUUUUAGUUGAUAAUUGAUACGACAAAAAUUGACCAUUGCAACAUUCCUCAUCAUGAAACAGAAACUGCUGGCCAGUUCUUAGUUCACACUGAACUUUGCUUCUUGUCUGCCAAGUUUAGAACGAAAGUUUGAGAGAAAAGCAUGAAUGCAGGGUAUUUGCCAUGAGCCCAUGACCUUGAAGGCUUCAUCUUCUACCUUUUAUUUUAUGGCUAUUGAGGCUAUGUUGCUGGUAGAGAACUGCAAUGUUUGUCAACUGAUGAAUGAAAAGCUGAGUUACAGUGCACAGGUUGUGGGUAAAUCUUUAGAAUCAAGAAGCUGAGAUUUUUUAUGCAGAGAUGGGAUGAGCUUUGUGUGUGCAAAGAGAAUUUUUUGAUUAUUUUGUAUGAUAAAGAAUUCCAUUUGCACAUAGUUAUUCUUUUUAAAAAUUUCACAUAAACAUAAAUCAUAGUGCUAAAGCCAUACAUGUGAUCUGCAAAAGCACUUUUGCCCUGACAUCAAAG
Molecule: unclassified non-coding RNA, 4384 nt
Filed under: Hevea brasiliensis (rubber tree)
Lineage: Eukaryota; Viridiplantae; Streptophyta; Magnoliopsida; Malpighiales; Euphorbiaceae
Source: RNAcentral